Molecule: small nucleolar RNA, 131 nt
Organism: Physeter macrocephalus (sperm whale)
Lineage: Eukaryota; Metazoa; Chordata; Mammalia; Artiodactyla; Physeteridae
Source: Ensembl
GUUGAGGUCUAUCCCGAUGGGACAUUUUCUGCAGACCUACAUUAUUGGAAAUGCUUCAUAGAGCAACUGUGUGGUUUCCUUUACUGAGAGACCUAUGUGUCAGAUCUGUGGGAAAGAACUUCAAGAGAGGA